GAUGAACGCUAGCUACAGGCUUAACACAUGCAAGUCGAGGGGAAACGACAUCGAAAGCUUGCUUUUGAUGGGCGUCGACCGGCGCACGGGUGAGUAACGCGUAUCCAACCUGCCCAUCACUUGGGGAUAACCUUGCGAAAGUAAGACUAAUACCCAAUGAUAUCUCUAGAAGACAUCUGAAAGAGAUUAAAGAUUUAUCGGUGAUGGAUGGGGAUGCGUCUGAUUAGCUUGUUGGCGGGGUAACGGCCCACCAAGGCAACGAUCAGUAGGGGUUCUGAGAGGAAGGUCCCCCACAUUGGAACUGAGACACGGUCCAAACUCCUACGGGAGGCAGCAGUGAGGAAUAUUGGUCAAUGGGCGAGAGCCUGAACCAGCCAAGUAGCGUGCAGGAAGACGGCCCUAUGGGUUGUAAUCUGCUUUUAUAAGGGAAUAAAGUGAGAGUCGUGACUCUUUUUGUAUGUACCUUAUGAAUAAGGACCGGCUAAUUCCGUG
RNAcentral lists this ribosomal RNA (492 nucleotides) under uncultured bacterium. Its description in RNAcentral is "partial 16S ribosomal RNA". It matches the Rfam family "Bacterial small subunit ribosomal RNA", at positions 28 to 507 of the family's 1533-position model. The record is from RNAcentral.